UACGUAGGGGGCGAGCGUUGUCCGGAGUUACUGGGCGUAAAGGGCACGUAGGCGGUCGUGUCAGUUUCUAGUGACAGGUCAGGGCUUAACCCUGGCAGGCCUGGAAAGACGGCAUGACUUGAGGGCUUCAGAGGGACGCGGAAUUCCAGGUGGAGCGGUGAAAUGCGUAGAGAUCUGGAAGAACACCAAAGGCGAAGGCAGCGUUCUGGGAAGUUUCUGACGCUGAGGUGCGAAAGCCAGGGGAG
Molecule: ribosomal RNA, 245 nt
Filed under: uncultured bacterium
Lineage: Bacteria
Description: partial 16S ribosomal RNA
Rfam family: Bacterial small subunit ribosomal RNA
Source: RNAcentral